RNAcentral lists this ribosomal RNA (119 nucleotides) under Pteropus alecto (black flying fox). The record is from RNAcentral. Lineage: Eukaryota; Metazoa; Chordata; Mammalia; Chiroptera; Pteropodidae.
GUCUAUGGCCAUGCUACCCUGAACAAGCCUGAUCCCAUCUGAGCUCAGAAGCUAAGCAGGGUUGGGCCUGGUCAGUGCUUGGAUGGGAGACCACCUAGGAAGACCAGGUGCUGUAGGCA